This 972-nucleotide ribosomal RNA is filed under the name uncultured bacterium. RNAcentral's name for it is "bacterial SSU rRNA". It matches the Rfam family "Bacterial small subunit ribosomal RNA", at positions 41 to 1004 of the family's 1533-position model. The record is from RNAcentral.
UUCAGGCCUAACACAUGCAAGUCGAACGGAAACGAUGGGAGCUUGCUCCCAGGCGUCGAGUGGCGGACGGGUGAGUAAUACUUAGGAAUCUACCCAGUAGCGGGGGACAACUCGGGGAAACUCGAGCUAAUACCGCAUACGCUCUACGGAGGAAAGCAGGGGAUCUUCGGACCUUGCACUAUUGGAUGAGCCUAAGUCGGAUUAGCUUGUUGGUGAGGUAAAGGCUCACCAAGGCGACGAUCCGUAGCUGGUCUGAGAGGACGAUCAGCCACACUGGGACUGAGACACGGCCCAGACUCCUACGGGAGGCAGCAGUGGGGAAUAUUGGACAAUGGGGGCAACCCUGAUCCAGCAAUGCCGCGUGUGUGAAGAAGGCCUGCGGGUUGUAAAGCACUUUCAGUAGAGAAGAAAAGCCUAGGGUUAAUACCCCUGAGUCUUGACGUUACCUACAGAAGAAGCUCCGGCUAACUCCGUGCCAGCAGCCGCGGUAAUACGGAGGGAGCGAGCGUUAAUCGGAAUUACUGGGCGUAAAGCGCACGUAGGCGGCUUUGUAAGUCGGAUGUGAAAGCCCCGGGCUUAACCUGGGAAUGGCAUUCGAUACUGCAUAGCUAGAGUAUGGUAGAGGGAAGUGGAAUUUCCGGUGUAGCGGUGAAAUGCGUAGAUAUCGGAAGGAACACCGAUGGCGAAGGCAACUUCCUGGGCCAAUACUGACGCUGAGGUGCGAAAGCGUGGGUAGCAAACAGGAUUAGAUACCCUGGUAGUCCACGCCGUAAACGAUGAGAACUAGAUGUCGGGAGGAUCUGCCUUUCGGUGUCGCAGCUAACGCGUUAAGUUCUCCGCCUGGGGAGUACGCCGGCAACGGUAAAACUCAAAGGAAUUGACGGGGACCCGCACAAGCGGUGGAGCAUGUGGUUUAAUUCGAUGCAACGCGAAGAACCUUACCUGCCCUUGACAUUGACAGAACCCUUUAGA